Anas platyrhynchos (mallard) is the source of this 873-nucleotide non-coding RNA. The record is from RefSeq and is a predicted model, not a curated record. Lineage: Eukaryota; Metazoa; Chordata; Aves; Anseriformes; Anatidae.
AGAAGUUGAAAUCCACCUCAGAGGCAGCCAAAAGUGAGUGAAGUCGAUGGAGCUGCUGCCAAAAAAGAGGCCUGCGACUGAAGCCAGCAUGGGUGAGUUAAUCUAAGCCUGGAUUCAUGGCAGCGGAGACGGCCCGUGGGCUGGGACAUCCACGCUGCUGCUGUGCAGAGGAAGUCCGGGACACAGAGAAUGCAGCUGGGAACUGACGCGAGCAACCCUGCCAAGGAGCAAGCUAAACCACGGGCUAUACAGCUACAGGAAAGCAGAUAAUGAGUGGAACUGGGGGGAAUCUAUAAAAGGAAAAAAAAAAAAUCCCCAAAUUGGGAACCAGUGAAACCUAAUUGUGAGUAAUUUUCAUAUGUCUAUACUGAAAAACAGGUCCUGAUGACUCUGUGUGCAACCCUUUCUGUUUGAAGCCAUUUCUAUUCAGUCUGCACUAUUAACACAGGCUAUGUCACUGAAUGGCCAUGAAUAUAUUACAAGGACUCUAGCUAAUAACUACACACCUACCACUUUUAGAACCAGGCCAUGGCAGUUUUGCAAUAGCUCUGGCAUUUACCUAAUAAACCCCAACUCACUGUCUACUUUGGUAAAUAAUAUGCAGCCUCUCUUGUAAACCACGCGUGUGGUACAUUAAAUACUGCUCUGCAUUUAACAACCUGCUACUUUCCUGUCCUACUCUCUCGUAAGCCUAAUAGGAGCUGUGGUAUUAAUUUAGCCUGGGUGGAACUGUAGGCUGGACUUGUUGUUCCAGCAAGGUAAUUGCUUCACUAUGUAAAGGACUUCUGCUUUUCAUUUACAAUGCGCAUAGGAAGUCAUCUGUAAUUUCAAUAUCCUCCCCAGUGUAGCUGAAGCAAUUCUUAUGCUGUGAAU